Molecule: ribosomal RNA, 99 nt
Filed under: uncultured bacterium
Lineage: Bacteria
Description: partial 16S ribosomal RNA
Rfam family: Bacterial small subunit ribosomal RNA
Source: RNAcentral
UACACACCGCCCGUCACACCAUGGGAGUGGGUUGCACCAGAAGUAGCUAGUCUAAACUUCGGGAGGACGGUUACCACGGUGUGAUUCAUGACUGGGGUG